AGUUUAAUGGCCAAGAAGUUGUCGUAUACUCCAUGGACAUCCAGUGAAGGCAGGAUGACGUAGAAUAAACAUUUCCCACUUUAGUCUUGAGCUUUUCCCUUGGACAAAGUGCCACCAUGGAAUUCGAACUCCACAGGUCCCCACAAGCAGGCAUCCAUCACUGUUAAACAGUGGCACGAAGAAUCUGGAAGCCCAGAGAUCGAAUCAUGGCCGUCGAUAAUCUGGCAGCUGUGACCUGGACCUGCACAAUACGACGCAGACCAUCGGUUGGCCGGUGGCUUUCCAGGCCCGUGCUGUUUUGCCACACCUCCCUGCUUAUUUAUAACUACUCUACCGCCCUUUUCUUCCCACUCACUGCUCACUAAAGUUCCGGGUACUCUGUCUUUUGACGGACAAUUCAAGUGCAGGGGCAAGCCCAAGAGAGUCCACUACAGUUCCAUAGGCUAUUCUCUGUCCCAUAAGCUAUUCUUGGUUUUGUGGACGGGGCAAGCUCAAGAGAGUCCACCACAGUCUCGGAUACUCUGUUUUUUGAUGGGCAAUCCAAGUGUAGUGGCAAGCCCAAGAGAGUCCACUACAGUUUCAUAGGCUAUUCUCUGUCUCAUAGGUUUUUCUUGAUCUCAUGGACGUUAAAAUUCGUUUCUUUCCUUCUCUCAGUUUCAGAUACUUUAUUUUUUGACGGGCAAUCCAAGUACAGGGGCAAGCCCAAGAGAGUCCACCACAGUUCCGGGUACUCUGUUCCGGGUACUCUGUCUUUUGACGGGCAAUCGAAGUGCAGGGGCAAGCUCAAGAGAGUCCACUACACUUCCGGGUACUCUGUCUUUUGACGGGCAAUCGAAGUGCAGGGGAAAGCUCAAGAGAGUCCACUACACUUCCGGGUACUCUGUCUUUUGACGGGUAAUCGAAGUGCAGGGGCAAGAGAGAAAGAGAUAGAGAUUCGAAUGGUCAUGGCGCCUGUGAGAUCCUCGUCUGUUUCAUCCCCUCCAUAUCAGUUGCUCUUCAUUCUAGUGAUCGUGGUGCUUUUUCUAACUGGGUCAUGGUACAUGAGUUAUGAAUCUGUGUUCGAGGAGGUUAUGGAGCAGGUGAAGCUUGUUUUAAUGUUGUCUCCUCUGCUGCUUCUGAUAAUGGUGCACUGGCUUUCUGUCGUUGAAAAGCCCUACAUUCCAUUGCCUCCCUCAGAGCCCAAUGCCAUACACAGGGCCGGGAGCUCACCUUGGGGUAUGGGAUUGCUUGUUCUCCUGCUUCUGCUUAUGAUUUCUUACCAGUCCACCUUCCAUGAAUACUGGUUUCCAUUGUGGAGCUGAGCUUACAUCGUUGCACUCUAAAGAUGAGACUUUUUCUUUCUUUCUGUAAAUUCUUCAUUUGUAUGAAAUUUUUGGACUCUUUUUUGUUGGA
Molecule: long non-coding RNA, 1392 nt
Organism: Cryptomeria japonica (Japanese cedar)
Lineage: Eukaryota; Viridiplantae; Streptophyta; Pinopsida; Cupressales; Cupressaceae
Exons: 2
Source: RefSeq, a predicted model, not a curated record